GCCGUAGCAAAAUCUACGGCCGGGAUUAGCCUCCUGAAUAACACGAUGGCGCAUACCGCGUUAGCGGUUUUUUU
This 74-nucleotide small RNA is filed under the name Escherichia coli. Its description in RNAcentral is "isrK Hfq binding RNA". It matches the Rfam family "isrK Hfq binding RNA". Lineage: Bacteria; Pseudomonadati; Pseudomonadota; Gammaproteobacteria; Enterobacterales; Enterobacteriaceae. RNAcentral also lists the same sequence under 3 other names. The record is from RNAcentral.